This 253-nucleotide ribosomal RNA is filed under the name uncultured bacterium. RNAcentral describes it as "partial 16S ribosomal RNA". It matches the Rfam family "Bacterial small subunit ribosomal RNA", at positions 524 to 776 of the family's 1533-position model. The record is from RNAcentral.
AACGUAGGAGACAAGCGUUAUCCGGAGUUACUGGGCGUAAAGGGCGUGUAGGUGGUUUCGUAAGUCUGGCGUGAAAUUUUUCGGCUUAACCGGGAAAGGUCGUCGGAUACUGCGGAGCUAGAGGACGGUAGAGGCGUGUGGAAUUCCGGGUGUAGUGGUGAAAUGCGUAGAGAUCCGGAGGAACACCAGUGGCGAAGGCGACACGCGGGGCCGUACCUGACACUGAUGCGCGACAGCAUGGGGAGCAAACAGG